Molecule: ribosomal RNA, 787 nt
Filed under: uncultured Neisseriales bacterium
Lineage: Bacteria; Pseudomonadati; Pseudomonadota; Betaproteobacteria; Neisseriales
Description: bacterial SSU rRNA
Rfam family: Bacterial small subunit ribosomal RNA
Source: RNAcentral
UUGAUCCUGGCUCAGAUUGAACGCUGGCGGCAUGCUUUACACAUGCAAGUCGAACGGCAGCGGGGAGGAGCUUGCUUCUCUGCCGGCGAGUGGCGAACGGGUGAGUAAUACAUCGGAACGUGUCGAGAAGAGGGGGAUAACCACCCGAAAGGGUGGCUAAUACCGCAUAAAUUCUGAGGAAGAAAGCUGGGGACCUGGGAAUAGGCCUAGCGCUUUUUGAGCGGCCGAUGUCGGAUUAGCUAGUUGGUGAGGUAAAGGCUCACCAAGGCGAAGAUCUGUAGCGGGUCUGAGAGGAUGAUCCGCCACACUGGGACUGAGACACGGCCCAGACUCCUACGGGAGGCAGCAGUGGGGAAUUUUGGACAAUGGGGGCAACCCUGAUCCAGCCAUGCCGCGUGUAUGAAGAAGGCCUUAGGGUUGUAAAGUACUUUUGUUAGGGAAGAAAAGUCAGCUGUGAAUAAUGGCUGAUACUGACGGUACCUAAAGAAUAAGCACCGGCUAACUACGCGCCAGCAGCCGCGGUAAUACGUAGGGUGCGAGCGUUAAUCGGAAUUAUUGGGCGUAAAGCGAGUGUAGACGGUUAUUUAAGCCAGAUGUGAAAUACCCGAGCCUAACUUGGGAGGUGCAUAUGGAACUGGGUAGCUAGAGUGUGUCAGAGGGAGGUAGAACUCCACGUGUAGCAGUGAAAUGCGUAGAGAUGUGGAAGAAUACCGAUGGCGAAGGCAGCCUCCUGGGAUAACACUGACGUUGAGGCUCGAAAGCGUGGGGAGCAAACAGGAUUAGAUAC